GACGAACGCUGGCGGCGUGCUUAACACAUGCAAGUCGAACGGAAAGGCCCUGCUUUUGUGGGGUGCUCGAGUGGCGAACAGGUGAGUAACACGUGAGUAACCUGCCCUUGACUUUGGGAUAACUUCAGGAAACUGGGGCUAAUACCGGAUAGGAGCUCCUGCUGCAUGGUGGGGGUUGGAAAGUUUCGGCGGUUGGGGAUGGACUCGCGGCUUAUCAGCUUGUUGGUGGGGUAGUGGCUUACCAAGGCUUUGACGGGUAGCCGGCCUGAGAGGGUGACCGGCCACAUUGGGACUGAGGUACGGCCCAGACUCCUACGGGAGGCAGCAGUGGGGAAUAUUGCACAAUGGGCGGAAGCCUGAUGCAGCAGCGCCGCGUGCGGGAUGACGGCCUUCGGGUUGUAAACCGCUUUCGCCUGUGACGAAGCGUGAGUGACGGUAAUGGGUAAAGAAGCACCGGCUAACUACGUG
Molecule: ribosomal RNA, 468 nt
Filed under: uncultured bacterium
Lineage: Bacteria
Description: partial 16S ribosomal RNA
Rfam family: Bacterial small subunit ribosomal RNA
Source: RNAcentral